Molecule: ribosomal RNA, 347 nt
Filed under: uncultured Anoxybacillus sp.
Lineage: Bacteria; Bacillati; Bacillota; Bacilli; Caryophanales; Anoxybacillaceae
Description: bacterial SSU rRNA
Rfam family: Bacterial small subunit ribosomal RNA
Source: RNAcentral
ACAGGUGGUGCAUGGUUGUCGUCAGCUCGUGUCGUGAGAUGUUGGGUUAAGUCCCGCAACGAGCGCAACCCUCGACCUUAGCUGCCAGCAUUCAGUUGGGCACUCUAAGGUGACUGCCGGCUAAAAGUCGGAGGAAGGUGGGGAUGACGUCAAAUCAUCAUGCCCCUUAUGACCUGGGCUACACACGUGCUACAAUGGGCGGUACAAAGGGUCGCGAACCCGCGAGGGGGAGCCAAUCCCAAAAAGCCGCUCUCAGUUCGGAUUGCAGGCUGCAACUCGCCUGCAUGAAGCCGGAAUCGCUAGUAAUCGCGGAUCAGCAUGCCGCGGUGAAUACGUUCCCGGGCCUU